This is a long non-coding RNA of Rosa chinensis, 2116 nucleotides long. RefSeq lists it as uncharacterized. The record is from RefSeq and is a predicted model, not a curated record. NCBI's taxonomy places the organism in Eukaryota, Viridiplantae, Streptophyta, Magnoliopsida, Rosales, Rosaceae. The transcript has 3 exons.
UUAUUUGUUUCACAAUUGCAAGUGUACCCUCAGUCCCCGGAUAGAACGAUCCCUAUUUGCUUAUACUACUAACGAUAUUUUCAGGGUUAAAUUAUGCGCUUGCUUUGAGCGCAUCAACGAUCUACGACCACAGGGACAUCGGCGCCAUUGAGACGAAGCUAUUGGUGGCCACGCGCCGUCAUGGGGUGGCCGGACGUGGAAGUUCCGGUCGGUCGCUGGCCGGUUCUCGCUGUGUCUGGGUCAGAGAGCAAGCUCUCUCUCUCUCUCUCUCUCGAAUUCUCCUAGGUCUUCCAUUGUUCACAAACUGAUAUAGAUAUGUCCAAUUAAUGAUGGAAGGCUAGGAUCAAGCGGUGAAGACGGUGGAUUUAAGGAUGGCUAGGAUUGCACCAUAGCAAAUUUCUAUUUCUCUAAAUUAUUUUCUAAAAUUUCACCACUUCGGAAAAUCGCUAUAAAUAGCUCGGGUGUCCGGAAAAUUCCCCAAAAAUUCCCACGAACUCGUCGUGUCAUAUACUUUAUCCAACUCCUAGAUUGAGGAUUUCACUUUAUGAAAAUUUCUGAAAAUUUCCUCGAGCAUCUUGACAUUUAUCGAGAUCGUUGAAUAAUUUCACAUACGAUCUCCAUUAAGCUCGAUACAUUUUUCCGGGGCUCACAGAUGCUCUGAUGGAUAACUGGACAAGUUCAUUUAGUUAUGAACUUAUGAUUUAUGAAUUAAUGAAUUAUGACCUUUUGUGGUUUUCUUUCUUUGUUUUGUUUUGUUUUGUUUUUCAUUUCUAAUGAGAUGGACUGAAUAUUAGUUCCAACUAGUAUUGUAGUUUUCUCCCUGUUGGGGCCUCAUGAUUAUGGUUUAAUUUUGCAGAUGCUUCAAGGCUUUCCAAAGAGCGAAACAUAAGCAUGAGGCAUUAAAGGGGCAGCUUGAAACUUAUUUCCAGGUACCUGUAGACUCUUCCUUUCUUUCUGGGCAACUAUACGUUGUGUUUGAUUAAUUAAAUAACUCUUGGAGCUAUUUUUCUUUCAUAUAUUUGUAGUUGAGAAGACAAGUUGGAAUGGCACAAAGGUCUUGAAUGCCACAUAGAUUGGCGAUUGCAUGAGGUGCCCAUAUAAUAGGGAAAAACUAGUUGAGAACUAUGUAUUUUGUCAAUCUCAUGAACUCCUAGCUACGUAAUAUUUGUUUUACUAUAGAAGGCAACCUAUUCAAGUUUAGCUGCUGCAAUAUGCAGAUACUGAGUUUUGGUUAGCCAUAUAUAUAGAAGUAAUAUUGUUCGAAAAAUCUACUUCCUAGAUUUACCAAUAAUGCAAUAUUUACUCCUCUGUGAGAUAUACUGCAAUAUGCAUGUAUUAUGAUAUAAAGGCCUUCUUCUUGGAAUAAAUAAACUUGCAGCUGUGUUGUUGUCAUUUAAUUGCCCUUGUGUGUAGCAUGUAAUUCUUAACUUCCUGAUCUAAUGAUAGCAAGGGAGGUCAUGAGAGGUUGGAUGUGAUAGAACUUUGUACAUACUAAACUUUCUAGUAGGGUAUUGAUCGACUUGAAGGGUAGAGGAAUCAGCCUAUUUAGAAUCUGUUAAAGCUUUUGAAUUGUUAGCUAAUUGGUUAAGUUUGGUGUUUGAUGACAUGGCUUUGGGAGUUAUUUGACAUUGCCACAAAGAAAGUCUCUUCCUAAUAUGCGCUGUGACAUUGCCAAGUUUCUUGACAUUGGCUAGGAAGCUAAAGCUCAGAUUCAGAGUGCAAGUGCUUAUGAUUCGUUAGUUGGCGUGUUCUAUUCCAAGCCUUUUGACACCAAGGUGGACUGGAGCUUUGUUGCUAAGGCUUCUCCCUGUUAUGUGACUUAUCUAAAGGAUGCAAUUGAUCAAAUCAUUAAGUUUUUUCGAAGUAAUACAGUUAGUCAGAAGAUACUAUGGAUACUGCAGCUGCUGUGCAGGUUCUUACUGAAUGUUGAUAUAAAAAGCAAAUCUGCAUUGUUAGCUGAGAGUUUGGAGUAUCAUGGUGACUUUCAGUUUCCAUUAGCAUGUAUUGCUUAAAUGUUGAAUGUCAAUCUUACUUUCCAAGCUGAAAUGUGGUGAUUUUUCUUCAAUUAGUAUUCCAUACGUCAAGGACAGCAUUUCAAAAUAGGCCUGAUUGUUUU